This 399-nucleotide ribosomal RNA is filed under the name uncultured bacterium. RNAcentral's name for it is "bacterial SSU rRNA". It matches the Rfam family "Bacterial small subunit ribosomal RNA", at positions 975 to 1375 of the family's 1533-position model. The record is from RNAcentral.
CCAGGCUCGAACGGCAGAUGACACCCUACGAAAGUAGGCUCCCGCAAGGGCAUCUGUCGAGGUGCUGCAUGGCUGUCGUCAGCUCGUGUCGUGAGAUGUUGGGUUAAGUCCCGCAACGAGCGCAACCCUUGUCUUCUGUUGCCAUCGGGUUAUGCCGGGCACUCUGAAGAGACUGCCGGUGACAAACCGGAGGAAGGUGGGGAUGACGUCAAGUCAGCAUGGCCUUUAUGUCUGGGGCCACACACGUGCUACAAUGGCAGGUACAAACCGUCGCGAGACCGCAAGGUGGAGCUAAUCGGAGAAAGCCUGUCUCAGUUCGGAUCGUAGGCUGCAACUCGCCUGCGUGAAGUUGGAAUCGCUAGUAAUCGCGGAUCAGCACGCCGCGGUGGAUACGUUCCC